GUUAAGCGACUAAGCGUACACGGUGGAUGCCCUGGCAGUCAGAGGCGAUGAAGGGCGUGCUAAUCUGCGAUAAGCGCCGGUAAGGUGAUAUGAACCGUUAUAACCGGCGAUACCCGAAUGGGGAAACCCAGUGUGACUCGUCACACUAUCAUUAACUGAAUCCAUAGGUUAAUGAGGCGAACCGGGGGAACUGAAACAUCUAAGUACCCCGAGGAAAAGAAAUCAACCGAGAUUCCCCCAGUAGCGGCGAGCGAACGGGGAGGAGCCCAGAGCCUGAAUCAGCAUGUGUGUUAGUGGAAGCGUCUGGAAAGGCGCGCGAUACAGGGUGACAGCCCCGUACACAAAAGCGCAUGUGCUGUGAGCUCGAUGAGUAGGGCGGGACACGUGGUAUCCUGUCUGAAUAUGGGGGGACCAUCCUCCAAGGCUAAAUACUCCUGACUGACCGAUAGUGAACCAGUACCGUGAGGGAAAGGCGAAAAGAACCCCGGCGAGGGGAGUGAAAAAGAACCUGAAACCGUGUACGUACAAGCAGUGGGAGCACCCUUCGGGGUGUGACUGCGUACCUUUUGUAUAAUGGGUCAGCGACUUAUAUUCUGUAGCAAGGUUAACCGUAUAGGGGAGCCGUAGGGAAACCGAGUCUUAACCGGGCGUUAAGUUGCAGGGUAUAGACCCGAAACCCGGUGAUCUAGCCAUGGGCAGGUUGAAGGUUGGGUAACACUAACUGGAGGACCGAACCGACUAAUGUUGAAAAAUUAGCGGAUGACCUGUGGCUGGGGGUGAAAGGCCAAUCAAACCGGGAGAUAGCUGGUUCUCCCCGAAAGCUAUUUAGGUAGCGCCUCGUGAAUUCAUCUCCGGGGGUAGAGCACUGUUUCGGCUAGGGGGCCAUCCCGGCUUACCAACCCGAUGCAAACUGCGAAUACCGGAGAAUGUUAUCACGGGAGACACACGGCGGGUGCUAACGUCCGUCGUGAAGAGGGAAACAACCCAGACCGCCAGCUAAGGUCCCAAAGUCAUGGUUAAGUGGGAAACGAUGUGGGAAGGCCCAGACAGCCAGGAUGUUGGCUUAGAAGCAGCCAUCAUUUAAAGAAAGCGUAAUAGCUCACUGGUCGAGUCGGCCUGCGCGGAAGAUGUAACGGGGCUAAACCAUGCACCGAAGCUGCGGCAGCGACACUGUGUGUUGUUGGGUAGGGGAGCGUUCUGUAAGCCUGUGAAGGUGGCCUGUGAGGGUUGCUGGAGGUAUCAGAAGUGCGAAUGCUGACAUAAGUAACGAUAAAGCGGGUGAAAAGCCCGCUCGCCGGAAGACCAAGGGUUCCUGUCCAACGUUAAUCGGGGCAGGGUGAGUCGACCCCUAAGGCGAGGCCGAAAGGCGUAGUCGAUGGGAAACGGGUUAAUAUUCCCGUACUUGGUGUUACUGCGAAGGGGGGACGGAGAAGGCUAUGUUGGCCGGGCGACGGUUGUCCCGGUUUAAGCGUGUAGGUGUGUGUUCCAGGUAAAUCCGGUUCACUUUAACACUGAGGCGUGACGACGAGGCACUACGGUGCUGAAGCAACAAAUGCCCUGCUUCCAGGAAAAGCCUCUAAGCAUCAGGUAACAUCAAAUCGUACCCCAAACCGACACAGGUGGUCAGGUAGAGAAUACCAAGGCGCUUGAGAGAACUCGGGUGAAGGAACUAGGCAAAAUGGUGCCGUAACUUCGGGAGAAGGCACGCUGACACGUAGGUGAAGUGAUUUACUCA
Molecule: ribosomal RNA, 1735 nt
Filed under: Salmonella enterica subsp. enterica serovar Virchow
Lineage: Bacteria; Pseudomonadati; Pseudomonadota; Gammaproteobacteria; Enterobacterales; Enterobacteriaceae
Description: partial 23S ribosomal RNA
Rfam family: Bacterial large subunit ribosomal RNA
Source: RNAcentral